Molecule: ribosomal RNA, 464 nt
Filed under: uncultured bacterium
Lineage: Bacteria
Description: bacterial SSU rRNA
Rfam family: Bacterial small subunit ribosomal RNA
Source: RNAcentral
GACGAACGCUGACGGCGUGCCUAACACAUGCAAGUCGAGCGAGGAGAGUUCCUUCGGGAACAAACCUAGCGGCGGACGGGUGAGUAACACGUGGGCAACCUGCCUUGUAGAGGGGAAUAGCCUUCCGAAAGGAAGAUUAAUACCGCAUAACAUUACAGUUUCGCAUGAAACAGUAAUUAAAGGAGUAAUCCGCUACAAGAUGGGCCCGCGGCGCAUUAGCUAGUUGGUGAGGUAACGGCUCACCAAGGCGACGAUGCGUAGCCGACCUGAGAGGGUGAUCGGCCACAUUGGGACUGAGACACGGCCCAGACUUCUACGGGAGGCAGCAGUGGGGAAUAUUGCACAAUGGGGGAAACCCUGAUGCAGCAACGCCGCGUGAGUGAUGAAGGUUUUCGGAUCGUAAAGCUCUGUCUUCGGGGACGAUAAUGACGGUACCCGAGGAGGAAGCCACGGCUAACUACGUG